This is a long non-coding RNA of Harmonia axyridis, 459 nucleotides long. RefSeq lists it as uncharacterized. The transcript has 2 exons. NCBI's taxonomy places the organism in Eukaryota, Metazoa, Arthropoda, Insecta, Coleoptera, Coccinellidae. The record is from RefSeq and is a predicted model, not a curated record.
AUUCACCUGAAAUACUCUCUAAAUAUAUGGUAUUUCGUCAUAAAAAUGAUAUAAGUACCAAUUGGAAACUGGAAAUCGUCAUCCAAAUCCUGAUCAAGCGUUGCUAUUGGUACUUUACCCAUACCCUUCCAAGGAAAUGAUCUGAAAAUACCGAAGCAUAAGUUCAACGAAACUACAAAUAAAUGCAGAAGAAUUUUGCAUCUGUACAUACAUUGCUGUACUGUCAUCAGUAACAGUAAUUGUACUCGGCUGACUGACGGAAGGUUCUGAAAUGCCAAUGUAACUAUAUUGAGUGGGUGAUGCAUUGCAUGAUAAUUUUCCAGAUAAAUCACUAGAACUUUUAUUUAGAUUACAGCAGGCCUUGUCUGGCAGUAGUACUUCGGCUAAGGGAAAAUUAUGAGAUCCUGAAAAAAAAUAGUCAAUGAAAAAUAAUAGUUGACCAAAAUUCUGGUGAAAUUG